RNAcentral lists this long non-coding RNA (272 nucleotides) under Mytilus galloprovincialis (Mediterranean mussel). Lineage: Eukaryota; Metazoa; Mollusca; Bivalvia; Mytilida; Mytilidae. The record is from RNAcentral.
GGAUCAUGUUUUACCUACAUGUACUGAAUAACAUUAACGGUACCAAUUUUCCUGCACCAGAUGCGCAUUUCGAAGUUCUGGCUAUUGGGCUGGUGAUACAGCCCACCAGCAUGCAUGAAUUGUUGGAAAUAUAGUCACCAAAACAUGGUUUUAAAGACAAUCAAAAAGCAGAGGCAUCGACCCAGUGGUAGUAAUAACAUUAACGGUACCAAUUUUCCUGCACCAGAUGCGCAUUUCGACAAUACAUGUCUCUUCAGUGAUGCUCAUGGCCA